RNAcentral lists this transfer RNA (77 nucleotides) under Bacillota bacterium. Its description in RNAcentral is "tRNA-Arg". It matches the Rfam family "tRNA". From Rfam's summary of the family: Transfer RNA (tRNA) molecules are approximately 80 nucleotides in length. The record is from RNAcentral. Lineage: Bacteria; Bacillati; Bacillota.
GUCCUCGUAGCUCAGCUGGAUAGAGCAACCGCCUUCUAAGCGGUCGGUCGAUGGUUCGAAUCCAUUCGAGGAUACCA